RNAcentral lists this microRNA precursor (52 nucleotides) under Pteropus alecto (black flying fox). RNAcentral's name for it is "mir-1302 microRNA precursor family". It matches the Rfam family "mir-1302 microRNA precursor family". Lineage: Eukaryota; Metazoa; Chordata; Mammalia; Chiroptera; Pteropodidae. The record is from Rfam by way of RNAcentral.
AUUUUAACGUAAUUAUAUCCCAUGCAAUAUUUGGGAUAUACUUAUACUAAAA